This 537-nucleotide ribosomal RNA is filed under the name uncultured bacterium. RNAcentral's name for it is "bacterial SSU rRNA". It matches the Rfam family "Bacterial small subunit ribosomal RNA", at positions 355 to 896 of the family's 1533-position model. The record is from RNAcentral.
UGGGGAAUCUUGCGCAAUGGGCGAAAGCCUGACGCAGCGACGCCGCGUGGGGGAUGAAGCAUCUCGGUGUGUAAACCCCUUUCGACUGGGACGAAUGCCUCGCAAGAGGAGUGACGGUACCAGUAGAAGAAGCCCCGGCUAACUACGUGCCAGCAGCCGCGGUAAGACGUAGGGGGCCAGCGUUGUUCGGAAUUACUGGGUGUAAAGGGUUCGUAGGCGGUGUGGCAAGUCGGGAGUGAAAUUUCUGGGCUUAACCCAGAAGCUGCUUCCGAAACUGCUGUGCUUGAGUGUGGGAGAGGCGCGUGGAAUUGCAGGUGUAGCGGUGAAAUGCGUAGAUAUCUGCAGGAACACCCGUGGCGAAAGCGGCGCGCUGGACCACUACUGACGCUGAGGAACGAAAGCUAGGGGAGCAAACAGGAUUAGAUACCCUGGUAGUCCUAGCCCUAAACGAUCAGGACUUGGGGUGCCACCCGUUCGGGUGUCGUCCCGGAGCUAACGCGUUAAGUCCUGCACCUGGGGAGUACGGUCGCAAGACUG